GACGAACGCUGGCGGCGUGCCUAACACAUGCAAGUCGAGCGAAGUAUAUUUAAGUGAAGUUUUCGGAUGGAACUUAAAUAUAUCUUAGCGGCGGACGGGUGAGUAACGCGUGAGCAACCUGCCUUUCACAAAGGGAUAGCCUCGGGAAACUGGGAUUAAUACCAUAUGAAACUUAACUUUCGCAUGAAGAUAAGUCAAAGCGAAUAAGCGGUGAAAGAUGGGCUCGCGUCCUAUUAGCUAGUUGGUGAGGUAACGGCGUCACCAAAGGCGACGAUAGGUAGCCGGCCUGAGAGGGUGAACGGCCACACUGGAACUGAGACACGGUCCAGACUCCUACGGGAGGCAGCAGUGGGGGAUAAUUGCACAAUGGAGGAAACUCUGAUGCAGCGACGCCGCGUGAGUGAAGAAGGCCUUCGGGUCGUAAAGCGUCUGUCCUAGGGGAAGGAUAAUGACGGUACCCGUACGGAGGGAAGCCCCGGGACUAACCUAACGUGCCAGCCAGCCGCGGUAAAGAGUAGUACA
This 522-nucleotide ribosomal RNA is filed under the name uncultured bacterium. RNAcentral's name for it is "bacterial SSU rRNA". It matches the Rfam family "Bacterial small subunit ribosomal RNA", at positions 28 to 536 of the family's 1533-position model. The record is from RNAcentral.